AAUCGAUGAUCCUCGAUACACCUCACCAUUUUUUGCUUUUUUCUCAGCCUGUAUACCUCCGUCGCAAGCUUACCAUUUGAAUGCUCUCAAAGUAGGUCCAAAUCAGGGGCCCCAAAACACGCCAAUACGUCAGGUCAAGGUGCAGCUCAUAAAAUGGAAAGCAAUGGGCUACAAUUUCUAAUAUAGAACAAACGAAAAACUACAUGAAACAUAGUCAUGAAGGCGGAUUUAGCAGUAAAAGAAGAUUAGAGAGCUUCUUUUAACAUAGCCCUGGGAUA
This 278-nucleotide ribosomal RNA is filed under the name Mantidactylus majori (Ivohimanita Madagascar frog). RNAcentral's name for it is "partial 12S ribosomal RNA". The record is from RNAcentral. Lineage: Eukaryota; Metazoa; Chordata; Amphibia; Anura; Mantellidae.